CCUACGGGUGGCAGCAGUGGGGAAUAUUGCACAAUGGGGGAAACCCUGAUGCAGCGACGCCGCGUGAGCGAUGAAGUAUUUCGGUAUGUAAAGCUCUAUCAGCAGGGAAGAAAAUGACGGUACCUGACUAAGAAGCCCCGGCUAACUACGUGCCAGCAGCCGCGGUAAUACGUAGGGGGCAAGCGUUAUCCGGAUUUACUGGGUGUAAAGGGAGCGUAGACGGCUGUGCAAGCCAGAUGUGAAAGCCCGGGGCUCAACCCCGGGACUGCAUUUGGAACUGUGUGGCUGGAGUGCAGGAGGGGCAGGCGGAAUUCCUGGUGUAGCGGUGAAAUGCGUAGAUAUCAGGAGGAACACCGGUGGCGAAGGCGGCCUGCUGGACUGCAACUGACGUUGAGGCCCGAAAGCGUGGGGAGCAAACAGGAUUAGAUACCCUAGUAGUC
RNAcentral lists this ribosomal RNA (440 nucleotides) under uncultured bacterium. Its description in RNAcentral is "partial 16S ribosomal RNA". It matches the Rfam family "Bacterial small subunit ribosomal RNA", at positions 338 to 795 of the family's 1533-position model. The record is from RNAcentral.